UGGUUAAAAAGCUCGUAGUUGGAUCUCAACAGCCUUGAAGCGGUUAACUUUGUAGUUUUACUGCUUUAUAGGCUGUGCUUUUGCUGGAGGUUUAGGGGUGCUCUUGAUCGAGUGUCUCUGGAUGCCAGCAGGUUUACUUUGAAAAAAUUAGAGUGCUCAAAGCAGGCUAAAAUGCCUGAAUAUUCGUGCAUGGAAUAAUAGAAUAGGAUGUCGAUCCUAUUUUGUUGGUUUUCGGGACUCGACAUAAUGAUAAAUAGGGACAGUCGGGGGCAUUUGUAUUCAAACGACAGAGGUGAAAUUCUAGGACCGUUUGAAGACAAACUACUGCGAAAGCAUUUGCCAAGAAUGUUUUCAUUAAUCAAGAACGAAAGUUAGAGGUUCGAAGGCGAUUAGAUACCGCCCUAGUUCUAACCAUAAACGAUGCCAGCUAGCGAUCUGCCUGCGUUUUUACUGUAGACUGGGCAGGAAGCUUCCGGGGAACCAAAGCAUUUGGGUUCCAGGGGAAGUAUGGUUGCAAAGCUGAAACUUAAAGGAAUUGACGGAAGGGCACCACCAGGAGUGGAGCCUGUGGCUUAAUUUGACUCAACACGGGAAAUCUCACCAGGCCCGGACACUGGAAGGAUUGACAGAUUGAUAGCUCUUUCUUGAUUCGGUGGGUGGUGGUGCAUGG
This 670-nucleotide ribosomal RNA is filed under the name uncultured marine eukaryote. RNAcentral describes it as "SSU rRNA". It matches the Rfam family "Eukaryotic small subunit ribosomal RNA", at positions 616 to 1287 of the family's 1831-position model. The record is from RNAcentral.